CAUCCUAAGAAUUUAAAUUACAACAUGAAUAAAAAGAAUUACAUUGGGCCCAAUUUUUCAAUCUUCUUUGUAGUCUAUCUCAUAUAACAUGAAAAUAGGGUUAAUUUAAUUUUUAGGCUCAAAACUUAAAACCAACAAGGCCAUUAUCCAACAACAUUGGCCCAAAUAUUAAAGAAUGGCCCAAAAAAUUCAAAUUGCCCUAAUUUUCAAACCCUAGCAACAAAACACACUUUCACCAAAAACACACACUACUCCAACGACUCAAAAUAAGUCGCCACCGCCGGAACCAACUCUCUGACAUGCCUGUUGCUGCCUCGCAAGGCAGCAGCUUGCUGCUAUUGCAACAAUAGUAGCUAUGGCUGCUCGACCGAUUUUUGGUGUUUUUGGUUUUAUUUCUUGCAUUUUGUUCUUCCUUCUUAUCCAUUGAAAUUACAGCAACACGUUUACAUUUCUU
This 454-nucleotide long non-coding RNA is filed under the name Olea europaea subsp. europaea. The record is from RNAcentral. Lineage: Eukaryota; Viridiplantae; Streptophyta; Magnoliopsida; Lamiales; Oleaceae.